UACGUAGGGUGCGAGCGUUAUCCGGAAUUAUUGGGCGUAAAGAGCUCGUAGGCGGUUUGUCGCGUCUGCCGUGAAAGUCCGGGGCUCAACUCCGGAUCUGCGGUGGGUACGGGCAGACUAGAGUGAUGUAGGGGAGACUGGAAUUCCUGGUGUAGCGGUGAAAUGCGCAGAUAUCAGGAGGAACACCGAUGGCGAAGGCAGGUCUCUGGGCCGAUAUUGACGCUGAGGAGCGAAAGCGUGGGGAGCAAACAGG
RNAcentral lists this ribosomal RNA (253 nucleotides) under uncultured bacterium. RNAcentral describes it as "partial 16S ribosomal RNA". It matches the Rfam family "Bacterial small subunit ribosomal RNA", at positions 524 to 776 of the family's 1533-position model. The record is from RNAcentral.